AAUCAUCAAAACCCUUUUUCUUUUGGAAAGGGAUUUUGGACUUGGAGGCUCAUGCUCGCUUUCACUUUUGAAAGUGAGCUCCUCUCAAACGAAUCAGUGGGGUCUGCUUUGCUGAUCCUUGACGUGAUAAGAUUAUUUCUACGUUUUGGAUUUGGCACCAUGCCCACUUCUAACCGUCUCAUGGACAAUCGAUGGUGCUUCGGUCACCGCCAUCCACAUCGGCGGGAGGCUGGACCCACAAAGAAC
Molecule: unclassified non-coding RNA, 246 nt
Filed under: uncultured Russula
Lineage: Eukaryota; Fungi; Basidiomycota; Agaricomycetes; Russulales; Russulaceae
Description: sequence contains ITS2
Source: RNAcentral